UAGAAGCGUUGGCUAAGAAGCAUGGAUGCACUCCUGCUCAACUUGCGCUUGCAUGGGUUCUUCAUCAAGGAAAUGAUGUUGUACCUAUUCCAGGUUAGUCAAUCAUGUAAAAGCCUUAGCGUUAAAAACUAUAGUAGAAACCAUGUUUGACGGAUUGGAAAUGUAGAGUAUUAAAGAAAUUGGAACUAUCUGUUUAAAAAUCUUUGCUGUUACCCUCACAUCAUAUUUAUAUUGAGGCAUUUAAUUCGUUUUUAUGAGCGUAAGAAUAUUCAUAUUAAAAGUAUAUCAAUGUGGAUUGUCUUGGAGAUUUGUGAAUUGAACUGGAAUUGUGACUUAGACUAAGCUAAACGCCAAUUGAAACCAGCCAACCCUCCCCUCCCUGUUUUUCGCUGUAAAAUUGGAAGUCUCUAUUUAGCAUCCCCAUGAAUUUCAGGUACCCUCAUUAUGGAUGGGGUUGAAAACCAACAUUCUUUUUCAUAGAUAUCUAAUUACGUAACUCCUUUUCUUUUUACCCUUUCUUUCAAGGAAAUGGAAGGGAUAGAAUGAGAGUAAAAUUAUCGCAUGCUCGUGCAGUUUUUUGUUAAUUCAGGAUUAUGAGAUGGGAAAGAAACAGAGGUCUCGUCACACGUGAAUAACUGUACAAAUAUGCCUAUAAUAUUGGAGUAUGAGAUGAUCGUCCCUGCCCUUUGGAAGUUCAUGUACUUGAGUAUGAGAUGAUCAACCUUUCCCUCGUCUUUCAUGAGUCUUUUAGUUUCUUAUUUAGAUAUCAGUAUGCUUCUUGGAGGUGUCGAGAUAUACAUACGAGCUUGUAAAUCUCUUCAGAGUUAUUUUUCUCUUAAUUUUCCACCAUAUUUAUGUGCGUAGGCCUUAUAAUUAACAGCCAUUUGGGCCAUUUCACCCUAGAUAGGGAGAUUAGGAAAGACGGAUCGUUAAGUGAGAUUACUCUGGAAAAUUGUUAUUAUUUGCAGAUGCUGUAAAAUAAUUUUCUCCGAAAUCAUACAUGCAAUGGAUGCCAGUGAAAUGUGCAUUAUAUCGAUAUCAUGAAUUUGAUUGUUUUUAAUGAUAAUUUAUCUUGCCAAUCUUGAAAUAUUGGUGUAGGUACGACCAAAAUUAAGAAUCUUCACGAUAAUAUUGGUGCUCUGAAAGUGAAGCUUACAAAAGAAGAUUUGAAAGAGAUUACUGAUGCGGUUCCCAUCAAUGAAGUAGCUGGGAUGAGAAGUUCUAAUGAUGCUUUUCAUCGGAUCACGUGGGAAUUUGUGAGGACACCACUCCCAAAAUGAACCAGUUAAAUGGAUAAUAUUUGUAUAUUAUGUUUUGAAAGAUCUUUGUCGUAGUUGUGUUGAUAUUUCCCGCAGUUUCCUUUGCACACUUCUAAUUCCCUUUUGUACUUUUCCCAUGUCAUUAGCUUGUGUUGCUGAUCACGAAUAAUAUAUUGCGUGGCUAUUUAAUAAUUGAACCCUUCUCUUCUUUUUUACCAGCUUAACAUGUUAUGGUCAUCUUAUUAAUCAAAUUAUUUUAUAAUUUUUAUUCCUUUUGUCUGAGUAGACUUUCUAUCUAUGCAGCUUGUAGGUACAUGUUUAAAAUGCCAAAUGCCAACCAUCAGGAGGUUGGUUCUCCGUAAUGGAAGGACUUUUUUUAUGCAUGAAAUUAACACACUUGUUACACGAAAAUGAACAAAUUUAUUAACUAAUGCUGUUUCAUUAUUUCUCUUCAAACAAGAAAAAGAAAUAUUUAACUUGAUCGUGUCCUACAUUAUUGAAAUUUGCAGAAUUUUGAGUUGCUAUUUGCUUUUAUUUGAUUUUAAAUAUAGUAUUUAACGAAUAUGAUUGUUAUCUUAGUGAAUUAAAUGGCCGAGUUACAAGUGUAUAUGCUUGGUUAUUUUUUGUAUUUCAAUGAAAUGUGUGAAUUGUUUAUUUUCUGUUUUUUGGAUUUAUAUAUGAAACUUACAGGAUGUGUAAUUUUUACGUAAUCUGGUAAGAUAAUCGUGACAUUGGGUGUUUAUUUAUUCGUCUUUAUGUUGUUUUUGAGCGAUGUAGAUUACUUAUUUCAAACUUCUCUGAUUCAAUACCCAAUUUUCUUCCAGUUUUUUGGAAUUAUAAUUCCACUUGCAUAUGUAAUUACUACUAUUAGGCUAUGGUUCGAAUAUAGUUACAUAAUUCAAUGAAUUGCAUUGAUUUCUUCCUAAUUAAAUGUGGAUAAUUGUUAUUUUUAUUUUUUAAAGAGACAAGAUUAGCUUUUUAUUUGUUUGUUUACAUUCUUUUUUGAGUUAUGCGAGAAAUAUAUUGAAUUUGGAAUUGCAUCAUUUGUUGUUAUACCUGAAAGUGAUAAAUGUACACAAGUCAAGCUUGUGAACAUGAUACGUUCGAAGGUGAUAAUAAAAUUAAAGUGUCAAGUCAAAAAUAGGUCCAAUGAUGAUUUCAGAUACGUAAUCGGUAGCUUUUUAAUUGUAGCUUAAAAUGAUUCACGAGCUUUCUAGUGUGAGUAGAACUUGAACCUCUUUUAAAUAUAGAAGUGAAUGGAUCUUUUCUGAACGAGGUCGGCCCUAAGCCAAGGGCAACUAGGCAAUGGCUUAGGGUCUCAUAUUUAAUGGGGGCCUCCAAAUAAAAACCGUGGUAGAAGUCCAAUUAAAUUAUUAUAAAUUUAAAAGAUGGAUUAGUUAAAAAUUUAUUUAACAAUAAUUUAUUUGGUUGAUUCUAACUUAGUUCAAUCUUAUUUAAAAUAAAUUUUUCUUGAGUUUAGCAUAAAUGAUUAAUUACAAGUUAUCAAACGAGUCUAAUAUUAUUAUGGUAAUAUGAUUUAAUUUGAAAAAUAAUAUUACACAUUCAGUAAUUUACUUUAAUAAGUUAUAAUUUGAAUUUGAUUUAAAAUAAUUUUUUCAUGAGUCCAUAAUGUCCAUAAUAUGAUUUAUUAAAAAUAACUUGAAUUUGCUACUUUAUCUUUUAAAUCGUACCAAGUCUUUGUUUAAAAUGUAAAUAUAUGAUUUAUUUAAAUAUUCAAGUAUUUUUACGAAUGUAAAUUUUCUCUACGUUUAAGGGCCUCAUAAUAAUGAGUUGCUUAGGACCUCAAAAUUCUCAAGGUCGGACAUCAAAAUUCUCUGGGCUGGUAGAACAUGAUUGGGAGUGGGUUAUCAAAUUUUGAAUUUGAUGAUGGACGAGUCACUCUCAAAUUACCGACGAUUGAAGAUGUUGGUUUUAAGGCUAUGUGAAAGGCAUACCAGAUCUCGUGACCGACGCUGUCUUGUUCUUGUUAUAAUGUAUAUAAAUUUUUGAAAUUGUAACGCAUACUAUGUGAUAAUCCUCAUUCUGAGAAUGUAAUUUUUAACUAUUUAAUUUGAAAGUGUUAGUUCAAUUAUAAGUUACAAGGACUGAUAUAGUGGCUGAUUUUUAAAUUUUUCUAUAAUUCAUGUACGAACUAUGUAAUGAGAGCCUCUCCAAUUGUCGUGUAAAAUAGAUAUAAAUUGUGAUUUGGAAUUUUGGAUCAUCAAAGUGAUCAAAAACCACUCCAAUGGAGAGAUGCAAAGGAAAUGCAUAUUGCACAAAUAGAAAACGUUUUUUUUUUUUUUUUUUAAAAAGUACAUUUUUUUCUUUUUUUUUGAAUCCAUUUCAAUCAAACAUUUUUCAAUAAAAUAAUAUUACAUGCAAAUUCAAAAUUUUUCCUUAUUUUCCAUCAAUAUACUAUUCAAAAAUACAUUUUUUGGCAUUUAAAAAAAAAAAAAAUUUUUUUUUUUUUUUUUUUAAAAAGUACAUUUAUAUCUCUUUUUUUUUUUUUUUACAUCCACAAGAGGCAAAAAAUUGAUUUUGAUCUUUUCAUUGUAGCAAAAUUUGAAUUUAAAUCCAACGGAAUGUAAAUGACGAUGCAAAUAUAGUUUUGAAAAUACAAAUUUACACACAAUUUUACACCAAAAUUGAAUACGUUCUAACCAUAUUAGUUCCCAUGCUUUAGUUGUGUAAUUCAUAUUACAAACCAUAAUCAUAUUACAUGAUUGCAUUAUUAGUUUGUUAAUUAUAAAAUUAAAGGUAAUUGUAAUUGCGAUCAGGUGUCUCUCUUUCGCCAAUAAAUACUCGUAUUUAGUGUAAUUUGAAGACAAUUACAAUUUUGAUAAUUUUUUCUCCAUUACAAACUUGAUUCCCAUAUUUUCUCCUCCUCUUAGCAUUACUCCUGCAUUCAAAUUAUAACUGUUCCUUUGACUAACUUGAGCGUUGUAGCGUGCAGCAUCGAAGUCCCCCGCCUCAUUUUUUAUGUUUGGAGAUGCUAUGAUCAUGCGCAUCUAAUGUGUAUAUUCCAAGUGCACAAGUAACAUAUCAGGAGAGAGGAGUAGAGUCAAGAUUUAUUGACGAGCUGUGUCAUUAUUAGAUUCUGAGGUCAGUAAUAAAAGAAAAUAAUGGUGUACUAUAAGUUUGUAACUAGGUUGAAACAAAAAUACUGUCUUGUUGAUUUUAUUUGAUCUCACGAUUAUUGUUUUGCUUCUACUAUUUCUCUUGAUUUGAAUAUAUUGAUAAAUAUUAUAAUUAGAAACAAAGAAAAAAAUGAAAAAGAGAGAGACGCCUACACGGCUCAUGAAAAAAGAGAAGGAAAAAAGAAAAAAGGGAUUAUUGAAGGGAAAAGAAAGAAAAAUUUGACCAGUCAUCUUGAUUUUUCGUGUACCCAUUAACCGCAAUUCACACGUGCCCUAAUACAUGUGAUCAUUAGAAAGUAAAGAAAAAUGGAAAGGAGGAGGGACAUGUGGGUGGUCUUGGUUUUGCGUGUUCAAAUUAGUGAUUGUUUAGAUAUGAAGUCCAAGAAAGAUUCCAUUUGCCUCCUUCAAUAAUCUUUAUUUUCAUACCAAAGUGACCAAUUGCUUUUAGAACUUUUAUUAAAGUAGGGGUUUGAAUUUCAUUCCUCCAUCUUGGAGUCACUUUUCAAUUAAAUUAGUAAAAGUUAAAACUAAAAUUUAUUAUGGUUGUAAAUUAUUUGAUUGCAAUGUAUCAUUAGAUUGCUUGGUGGAACAAGUGAUGAAAAUUACUUAGGAGACAAAAUUUAGUUAUUGUUAUAAUUAUUUUCAAUGAUGAGGUGAAUGACAUGAGCCAUGUUUCAAUUUAAAUAUUUUAACGUUUGAGCGACAAAAUAUACAAUUUCUAUUGUUAUAACUAUUUUCAAUGAUGAGGCGAAUGACAUGAGCCAUGUGUCAAUUUAAAUAAUUUAACUUUUGAACGACAAAAUAUACAAUUUCUAUCAUACGGAAGUAUGCUAGAAAGUUUUUGAUAUGUCGCAUAUUAACUCCAACUCCAGGUGGAAUUUACCCUCGAAGUAGUGGAAGCCUAAAAUUCUUCAAUUUUUCAUGGGAUAAUUACACUAUAAACUCUCAUCUUUCAAAAUUUUACAUUUACUCUCAACUGUGUUUAAUUUUCCAAAUACUGUAAAAUUCACACACACACAAAAAGGUCUAGGAGCACAAGUGACAAAGAGGGAGAAAUUUUUGUGAUCUAAUACUCUGGAUGACAGUAGAGAACUCUAAUGGCAAUGUGUUUAUGUGUCAAUUUGUUUUAUAAGUUUCUAAUUAUUAUUUUCACAAUUCAGUUGUUUUCACCGUGAUAAGGUCAUUGUUCUUCAAUUUCGAACCGGGGUAGGUGCAUUUGAAUCGAAGUUUUGGCAUGUAUGAUAGGAAUGAUGGCUUAAUGAAUUGUGGAUAUGAUUGUAGAUUAGUGAUGGUAGAUUUUAUUGGUUGUGAAGAUUUUAAUAUAUAUUGAGAAUAGAAAAGAGUUCCAUGUUUGAAUCUCAUUCCAUUACAUUCAAUUUUUUCUCUCAUAUUUUCAACUACACAAUAUUUUAUAAAAUAAUAUUACACGUAAAUCGAAAAUAUUUUUUUCUUUUUCAACCACUUAUUUUUUUAAAAAAGCUCUAUUCGACCAAUUUUUAUUUCCAAAAAUGGGGGACAAACGGGGGCUUAAAAGUAAGUAUAGAUUUAGGCAUUGUUUGAACCCCAUUAUUUUCUUAUUAAAAUGAAAAAUAUAACCGUUAUUCAUUACAUCAAAUCACCAUAUUUGACUUUUUAUCUUUUGUGUAGGACCCAUAACAACUAUAUUUUUCAUUCUUAUUUUUACUAUAAUGUAGCUCAAACGGGAGCUCAGUAAACCUUUUAAAGAGUAGGGGGGUCACUGGGAGAAGAAGAUGAUUUAUAUAUAAUUUAUUUUUGAAAAGAUUAGGGACUCUUAAUGCAAAUUUUCCUUUAUUUGUGGGAAACGAAUCCCCUCUGCUGCUAUUAGCCAAAGGAAGUUUUGAUGUCAAUCCUUCAACGAGCUCUUUGCAUUGUGAAUAUUGUUGUAGCAAAGUCACUGCGAUUAAAUGCCAUUUUUAUAUAUUGCAUAAUGAAGGGAUGGGACAUCUCACUCUUUUUUAUUUUAUUUUUUAUGUGUUUAUUUGAAGGGGUAGAUAAAUUCGUUAGUUACUUUGGUUUAUACGAAAUUUAAUGAGAAAGUUCCGGUUCGGUCCCUAUUUUUUUUAAAUUUUGAAAUUUGGAAUAAUAUUUUUUUGAAAAAAGUGUGGUUGAAAAAGAAUGAAAUUUUUUUAAUUUUCGUAUAUUAUUAUUUUAGGAAAGAUUGAGUGAUUGAAAAAAAAAAGAGAAAAAAAAAAAGAGACUGACGUAAUCCUUGAUGUCGGAAAAGAAAAAUAUUAUGAUGAUAAAUUAAUAACAUGAGGCAAAAAUAUGAGACCACAAUGUUAAAAUUGUGGGUCAGGUCCCCACAACCACGCUGGCGAAGAGACUGACGUAAUCCUUGACGUCGGCAAACCAAACUUUACCUUCCCUAUAUAUAUUAACGCGACCGUGCUGGAUCUUCAUCAACUCGCUAAAAGAAGCACAAAUUUGAUCUGAUAAGCAAGAAGAAAGUUAGACAUGGCCGAACAAGUUGAAAUGCCGCGAGUAAAACUCGGAACCCAAGGACUUGAGGUAUGUAAUAUUCUUUUCUUAAUUCAUUCGAUUUAAUUUGUAAAUCCCAUUUGAAUUUUUGUUUUCGGCCGGAUCCAACGACCAGUGACCUUUCUGAAUCAAAUCUCUGCACAACUUUGCACUUGCGUUUCAUCACGGAACGGAGUGAAUUUUGUGGACCUCUUACAUAUUUGUCUGGGUACUGGUAAAUAAGCGUACCAAUUUAAUUAUUAAUUUGUCUGGAUACUGAUAAAGAAGUGGAAAAAAGCCAUUAAAACUGCCCACCCUCCAGGCGCCCCUGUUUCCAAGCCUGUUUUUGGGCCUGUCCCAAAAGCAGGGCUGAAAUAAGCACCUAUUUGUCAUCUAUUUUCUCCUAUUUUUUUCAUUAUUUUUUUUACAGAACUAAUUUUCAACCACAAAUUCUUCAUUAAAAUAACAUUACACGUGAAUAAAAAAAAAUUCAUUUCUUUUUUAAUCACACAUUUCAACAUCAAUUACUAUUCCAUGAUACAUUCUUCCCCAAAUAGUGUACCAGUUUAAUUAUUAACAUAUGGAAAUAAGGUUCAAGAAAAAAGGACAGAGAAUCUGUUAAAAAGCCUGAUGUAAAGUUAUAGAAAUAUUACUUAGAAUUUGAAGAAAAUCCAAUAUUGAAUCACUUGCAGUUGUUUUCUCAAAGAUGGGACACUCAUUUUUGUCCAAAUACUUUUACAUUGAAUAACACAAGAUUCCCACAAUCGACGAUAAUUUGUAUAGGGAUAUGGGUAAUGGGUGCAAAUUGAUCGGCAAAUUCUGCAACCAUUAAUUAGUUUUCUUCAGAUAAUGUUUUCUUGAAUCUUAUUGCGCUUCAUCCAGUGAUAUAUAUUUUUUAUGGCAUGGUAGGUAUCAAAGUUAGGUUAUGGUUGUAUGGGGCUUACUGGAAUCUACAAUGUUCCUGUUCCCGACGAGGAAGGAAUUGCAAUAAUCAAAGAGGCAUUUAGUAAAGGCAUUACAUUUUUUGACACAUCUGAUAUUUAUGGUGCGAACAAUGCCAAUGAAUACUUGGUCGGAAAGGUAAUUUCUAAGAUACUUAUUUUAGAUUAAAGCAGCACACUUGAAUUUAUAUGCUGGCAACAUACUUUUUCUUCUUUAGUGGUUGUAAGAUGAUGGGAACUACAUAUUUAAAUUCCAAUUUCUUCGAUAAACUGCAGCAUGUUAAGGGAUAAAAAUCCCACAUCGGUUAAGUACCGAAAUAUUGAGUAACUUAAAAAGAUUUUGGACUCCUCCUCUUAACAAGGUUGACCUUAUUAAGAUGGACCUCAAAUCUCCAUUAAGCUCCAACCAACGAUUCGAUUCAAUUAUAAAUCUCAAUUAAUGAGCAACGGAUUGUAAGAUUGGUCUGUUCAAACGAGUCACCAUCUUGCGGAAGCAUAUUAAGGGAUGAAAAUCCCACAUCAAUUAAAUAUUGAAAUAUUGAUCAACUUAAAAAAAUCUUGGACUACUCUUCUUAAUAAGAUUGACUUUAUUAAGAUGGAUCCCAAAUUUUAACAUAACACAAGUAUAUGUUAGUAUGGUGCGCAAAAAAAAAAAAAUGGAUUGUAAAUUUAGCUUCUUUUUUUUCUGAACUUAAUUGCAUUUAAUCUAAUUCUGUGCUGCUUUCGGCACUGAAGCUUCCAAGUCACUGACUUGAAAGUUGUAAUGGUUAUGCUGAACAGUAUAUUACUUUUUUUUUUUUUUUUUUUCAUAAAUUUAAAUUCCAAUUUUCAUCAUUUAUAUAAACUAAAGCAUCAAAAUCUGAUAUAUAUGGCCAACUAUAGGUUUUUAGGAUUCUAGGUUUGAUUCAUUUGUAUAGGUUUGUCAUUUGUUUUUCUAGUAUAAAAUCAGGUCUUCCAUUUACUUAUUUGACUCCGCAAUAGUAAUAACUAUAAGAGAAGAGAUUCAAUGGUAAAGAGAAUUAUAGACAUGACAGCUUUCUUGAAUUUAUAUUACAAAGUUACAAUAUGUGGAGAUGCUAUUCUUUGGAAAGGUGAUAUAAAUUUUGUUUUAAGUUACUCUUCAGUUAUAUUUAACUUCAGCUUUCAGUAUCGAACCAUGAGAUAACUGUUGAUUGAAAACAACUAAAAGUAACACAUAAGCAUUUAUUAUCACAUUUGAGUGAACUUACUUAAGACAUUCAAUUGCUGCAGGCAUUAAAGCAGUUACCUCGAGAAAAGGUUGAGUUGGCUACAAAAUUUGGUGUAUUUAAAAUUGGGGGUCCUGAAGUCAUAGUAAAAGGUUCACCUGAGUAUGUCCGUUCUUGUUGUGAGGCUAGCUUGAAGCGUCUUGACGUGGAUUAUAUUGAUCUCUACUACAUACAUCGGAUUGAUCAGACUGUGCCUAUUGAAGAGACGGUUAGUUUUUCUUAUAUACUUUUAUUUGUGAUAUUGUUCUUAUAUAGCCAUUUUGAUUAGUGUCCAUUGACCUCAUUUUCUCUUUUUUGUAUUCGUCUUUCUUAACACGCUUUCUAUAUCACUUAAUAUUACGUUUUGAUGAUAAACUUGUUUAUGAGCUGCAGAUGGGAGAACUAAAAAAGCUAGUUGAAGAAGGUAAAAUAAAAUAUAUUGGGUUAUCUGAAGCUAGCCCAAACACAAUAAGGAGGGCACAUGCAGUUCAUCCUAUUACUGCUAUACAAAUGGAAUAUUCCCUUUGGACUCGUAACAUCGAAGAAGAAUUUAUUCCACUCUGCAGGUUUUAAUUAUUUCUCAAAUAUUUCUAUUAUAAUGCUGAUUGUUCAAAAUAUUACAUUUUAGGCAAAAAAUUUUGGCAAAUCAAAUUUUAAGAGGGUGAAAGCAGAUGUUGGAAUCUCAUAUUUAUUUUUUCACGACAUAAAGUACUUGAUGUCAUUCCUUCUUCAACUAACAUUGCAAUGUUCAGUUCCUAUUCUCCAAUAUAAUAGUUCGCGUUUGUGUACUUCUCUUGUUGAUGUGUUAAACUUGUAUUUUUGAUGGGUUAAAUACAGUCUUACUUAGGGUUUUGAUAAUUAUUGCUUUUGAUGAGGAUGCUAAAAGUUCUUUUCUUUCUUUCUAACAAUUUUUGAAUGCCCCAAUUCAUCUUUUUUCCAUUACUAUUCAUCAAGUAUGUGUAGUUUUUAUCUUAUCGUUCUCCUCCCUGUUCAAUAAUAAUGUUCUCAUAUAGGAUUUCCUUUUCUUUUUGGAAUGGUUUAUUAGGGAACUUGGUAUCGGAAUAGUUCCAUACAGUCCAGUGGGCCGAGGGUUUUUUGCUGGGAAGGCCAUAGUGGAGAGCUUGGCCCCAAGUAGCAGACUGGUUCGUAUGCUUCCUGUCUUUUAAUUUUAGACAUGUAAACUCUACCUUGGAAUCCAAGAUGAUUUAGUAGUUUCUUCAUUUUAGUUAUCUGUACUUGCUGAAUCGUCGCCUGAUUUUUGUACCAUCAGGCACAUCACCCAAGGUUUACAGAAGAGAACUUAGAUAAAAACAAAGUCAUUUAUUUUCGUAUUGAAGCAUUAGCUAAGAAGCAUGGAUGUACUCCUGCCCAACUUGCGCUUGCAUGGGUUCUUCAUCAAGGAGAUGAUGUUGUACCUAUUCCGGGUAAGCCUGUUCAUAUUUAAUUUGCAUUAAAUAUGGUAGGGUUUGAUGAGAGUUUGGCGUACUUAUUUUGUUAUACUUGAAAUAUUGUGAUUACUUGUCAAUGUUGUCAGAGAUUUUAUGCAAAACCGCAUAGUAAUGGAUAGUAACUAAAACAUUUAUUAUCAUAUUCACUCCAUGGAUUGUUUUUAUUUUAACAGUAACAUGCCAUUCAACUUGCAACAUUGUAGGUACGACUAAGAUAAAAAAUCUCCACGAUAAUAUUGGUUCCGUGAAAGUGAAGCUUACAAAAGAUGAUUUAAAAGAGAUCUCUGAUGCAGUCCCCAUCGAUGAAGUGGCAGGGUCAAAAUCUGACAGCGCUAUUGGUCGGGUCAAUGCGCAAUUUGCCGAUACCCCACCCCCAAAAUGAACAUUGCAAGAUUGUUGAUAAAUCUUUGUAUGUUAUGUUUUCAAAUGUGGGCUUCUGAUAUUUGUAACAAUUUUGUCGUAGACAUAUUGCUACUACUCUUGGUUCAAUAAUGCAAGUAAUGUUUCUCUUCAGUCACUAGGGUUGUAUCAUGAACUAUGAAUUAUCGAUAAAUUAUUAGUAAUUUUUUUUUUAAAGAAUAGUUGGUAGAUAAUUCAGUCAGGCGUGGAUUGCAUAUUUUGGCAUGAUAUAUUACACUUUUGUGUCUAUUUAUAUAUUUGUAAUUAAGGCCAUAUGAUCAAUAAAAAAUCUUUAAACAAGUUCUUCAUAAAUUUUCUCCCGAAUAUGGGUAUUUCAUUGUUGUUUACUAGUGACUGAUGCAACUCAAUACUCAUUGACAAUAGCAAAGAAGAAAAAUGGUAAAAUAAAAUGUAGUUCACCACCAUAGUUAUUUACAUUAAUUCCUUUAUCUUGUGCAUUGAACUUUUCAAGUUGCAUUGUUGGGAAGUUGCCAUAAAGAACCAAAAUUAGAAAAGGCAUCAAUUCCUUAAUGGAAUAACGUUGUCCAAGAAUUUUUAGAGAAUGAAUUGAUCAAGCCUUUCGUUACACGAUCAACCACUUUUGAUAUUAUUAAAUGUUUUAGAGAAAAAUCUUAUUUUUCAAAAUAACGCAGAACAAAACUUUUAAUCCACAACGAUUUUUCUCGAAGUGGGCAUUGUUAAACCUUACAAAUUUUGAACCCAUCGUAACGUUGUUUGAUCUAUAGCUCACGCCCUUGCUUAAGCAAUAAAGAGGCUGUUUUAAUUCUUCUCUCUUUCAAAAAGUUAAUCAAAAGAACAAAAAAUAAAAUAUGGGAAUGACACCAAAAAGUAGUUUUCCAUCGUAAUGCUUUUCACAAGUUAUUCCUUUAACAGAUAAGGGCAAGAGGACAUGUGGGGUUGCAGACUAGCCUAAAAAUCCAAUUCAACUUGCUUUUAUGCCAAGUGUAUGGACCUUAUAUAAGGAGAGUGAGUGGUGUCGAAAUCGGUGCUUAGAUACUUCAACAUCAUAGAUGGCCAUGGGCCACCAUUGGAUUGGGUGGAAUUAGUUUUGUUCAUGCUGAUUCAUUAUUGCUCCAAGGAUAAACCAUGACAUUGGCUACUUAAUAAGAAAAAUCGUCAUAAAAUUUUAGUCAAAAAUACUAUGGUAAAUUAAGAUGGAUAUUAUUAUGUGGUUGUCAACUUGCGGUUGCAUGGAUUCUUCAUCAAGGAGACGAUAUUGUACCUAUUUCGGUAAGCCCAUUCAUAUUCUAAUCUUGCUUUAAAGUUUGAUAAGACUUCGGCAUACUUAGCUUGGGAAAUUGUGAUUAGUUAUAUAUAUUUUUAGAAAUUUCACUCGAAUUGAUGAUGAGUGACAUGUAUAUUAUUAUAUUGAUCUCCUAAGUUGUUUUAAUCUUAAUAUUUACAUAUCAUUCGAUCUUGUAAUUAUAGGUACAAUCAAAAUAAAAAAUCUUCAUGAAAAUAUUGAUUCUGUGAAAGUGAAAGUUAAAAAAAUUAUUUUAAAAAGAUAUCUAAUGCAGUCCUUGUCAAUGAAGUGACAGGCAUUGGCGGACCCACGGUGGGUCAAAUGACUCAUUGUGGAUCUUUUGCAAAGUUGAGCGAUCAUUUGGACUAUUAUCCCUUAUUUAUAUAUUUCUACGCGAGGCCAUAUGAGGUCUUUGAAAGAUGUAUGUGAUCAAUAAAAAAAUGAUGGAAAAUAUGCUAUGCAAAAAUUUGUCCAUAGUGGAAGAAUGCAAUUUUUUGGUUUUUUAUUUUUUAUUCAAUGUACAAGGAAUAUUUAAAUUUUAAAGCUCUUCGAAUGAUUAGUUAAACUGAUGUGAUUAUUGUUCGUUAGAUUCUUUAACAUUUUUUUUUUCUGUGAAUUAAUGAUCUAGUUAAAUUAUUCUUUUUUAAUUUUACUUUGUCAUGAAAAGAUUCAUGUUUAGAUUAAGAAUAAUGCUACGUAGCCCGAUGGAGUUGCAAUCCCAAUCUAGUUGGCACUAGAUGAUAGGGUGAAUGAAAUAUAAAAUUAAAUGAUUUAUUUAAUUUCACAUAUUGUUUAAUACUACAUUAACGCCACUAGACUGAGAUUUUAAUUUCAGUGAGACUAAGCAUUACUCUUAAAUUAAAUAGGGCUCUCUCUUUCUCUCUCUCCUUCCACCUUUUAUUCUACUGUUUUUGGAUUUCGUGUUUGCUUUGGUUAAGCUACAUUUCGAUUUUGAUGUUACUUGUUGAAAAAUUUCUAACAUCCUAAGAAUCUUUACAUACUUGAAGUUUCAUAUCUAAAGCGAUGGAGUUCGGAAGAAUUUGAAAUUCUGAUAUGAUUUUAGUAAUAGCAGUGCAAUUUUUUCUACCAUUAUAUAUUCUUUUCUGUUAAUAUGUGGGUGUUUUUUUUCUUUUUUUCAAAACCAUUAAAUUUUGUUCUUGCUUGAAGACAUGUUUACUUUUAUCCAUCACACUGGUUUUCAUUUAGCGAAUAACAGUAUAGUAGAUAACUUAGAAUUUUAUGAUUAGUCUACUAUUGUUAGCAGGGGCGGAGCUGCAUGGAGUCCAAUGUAGGCCACUGCCUGCACUGAACUUUCAGAAAAAACUGGAGCUCUCAUGAAGUUGCCUGGAUUUUGAGAAAACCUGGACAAUUGAUUCUUCAUUUGGGAUUUUGUUUUUAUGGUAUGAUUCUAAGGCCUUUAUUUGAUGAAUCUAAGUCAUUUACCAAUCAAAUGUUUGAAUUCGCUCACCCAUAUAUAUAUAUAUAGACACACGCACACACACGUGUGUUGGCUGUGUAAGUUAAUGAAUGUGAGGGAGCGAGGGGGAGAGAGAGCGAGAGUGCACAAGUGUGUGAAAGAUAGUGAGUGGAGAUAAUUGAGAGAGAGAGCGAGAGGGAGGGCACGUGUAUGUGAAAGUAAGCGAGAGAGUGCACAAGUGUUAGAAAGAUAGUGAGUGGAAAUAAUUGAUAAUUGAUUGCUGUGUAUGUGUGGAGUUUUUUUACACAUUUGAGAUAAAAUUUGUGUUAAGUUUAUUCCUUAAAUAAAAUUCCAUUUGAUUUGGGAUUUAAAUUCAACAUAUGCCUGUGUAAAGAAAUAUAUUAUUGUAUUAAAAAAAAAACCAAUGCACUAACUGGACCAAAAGGAAAUAAUUGAUAAUUGAGUGUUGUGUAUGUGUGGAGUUUAUUUACACAUUUGAGCUAAAAUUUGUGUAAGUUUAUUUCUUAAAUAAAAUUCUAUUUGAUUUGGGAUUUAAAUUCAACAUAUAAAUGUGUAAAGAAAUAUAUUGUUGUAUUAAAAAAAAAAAAAAAAAACAAAUGCACUAACUGGACCAAAAAUUUCCUUUUUAAUUUUACAUGAUCUAAUGGGAGUACACUCCAUUCAAAUCCUCACGUCUCCAUAAUUAGAGCUCAUAUCUAGAUUAAUUACAAAAUAUCUUUCCCUAUUUUAUACCAAACUCGAACCUUCAAACUUUUUUGAGAAUUCAUCUCCAUCUUUAUAUGAAUAUUAAAUCAAAGUCACAAUAGUUUUUUGGUUAAAAAAUUUCAUUGUAGUUGUUCAAAAUCUCAUGUUUUCUUAUGCGCUAGGAUUUAUAAAGAUUAUGCUCAUGUUUUCUUAUGAACCAGGAUUUCCUAAGAUCACGUGAAAUUCUUUUCGUGAAAAGAAUAAUUGACCAAAAAAAUCAUUGUAGUCGAUUUCUAAAAUUACGCCCGCACGCUCAGAAAAAUAUUAAAUUUGCAGACGCAUCAAAAGUGUGAAACCAUGGAAAAAAAAAUUAUUCCUUGGAGUCAAUAAUUAUAUAUGGUGGAUAAUAUUUUAUAGAUUGAAUUCUUUUUGAUUGUCUAUUUUUAAUAAGAGAUAUAAAUAUAGAACAUGUGUCAUAUUUACGUGUGAAGAGAUAUAAAUAUAAAAUGUGUUUCAUAUGUACGUGUGAAGCAACAUAUUAUCAUAGUUAUUAAAAUCGGAUCGGAUGUCCGAGUGAUUUAAUUGAUUAAGCAAGCAUAUGAAUCGGUCAAGAAUCGGUUAAACCAUUAACCAACCCUUUGUACCAAACGAUUUUAGGUGGAACCAGAUCCGGUUCAAUGUGUGAAUCGAAUGGCUACUAAAUUGAAGUAAAAUUUUAUGUUAAAUUUGCUAAAAAGCUUUGUUUCGAACUUUGGCAACAAAGGAGACAUCUUACUCUAUGACCACUAUGGCAACUAAUGGUCCUUAAUCAUCUAAUGUGAGCAAUAUAUAUAUAUAUUAGAUUUCGAAAAAUGGUUUCUUUUUUUCUUUCAAAAAUAUAAUAUAAUUAAAAUUAAAGUCUAAUAAUAAUCCCCCGAUUGAAUUGCUGAUCCACCGAUUGAACCAUUGACUCGAAGAUUUUUUCGGAUCUACCACUGAGCAGUGAGUAUGGUCUAAUAUCUAUGCAUAUUACCAUUGAUGCAAAAUUGACAUGUGGUCUAAGAUAAGAUAAGGAAGAUAUUUAUAGAUAGAAAUUGGCAAGUGGCCUAAAAUAAAAGAAGAUAUUUAUGGAUAGGGUCAAAGUGUCAAGUUUUGAUUUAAUUUGGCCCUUGAUCAAACAUGGAUGAAUACACACCUAUAAAUGAGUGUUACUCAUCAACAUGAUGACGAACAUUUUAUACCCAUAUGAUAUAGAAUUUUGAAUAAAUGAGUUUGUAUCAAAUGAUUUAUUAUUGUUGUUAUUAUUAUUAUUAUUUUUUGGAAAAUACUAAAAAUAAAAUAAAAAAUUCAUGAAUCCUUGCAUAUUUUAUUCAGAGAAUCCAUAAUUGAGAAUGAAUUCAUAAAAAAUAAGUUUUAGAAAAAGGGUACUUACAAGGCUUAAUGUAGCUGAAGAGUCCUUAAGCCCCCAUUGGACCCCUAUUAAUUCUCAUUCUAUUCCAUUUCAUUUUUCUCCCUUCUUCUUUCAACAACACAAUUUUCCAUGCAAUAAUAUUAUACGUAAAUGAAAAAUUUUUCAAAAAAAUACAAUUUUCAUUUACACAAAAUGGGGGCCAAACAGGGACAAAUAAAUGUUUAAUGUCUAAAAAGGUGAAGGCAUGCUACUUGGACAUGGAGGUGUCCAAAUAGGGGGCGAUGUGGCGCCCAUAUCGGCGCAAUAGAUCCAAGAAAACAAAUUCAAAUAAGGGAAUAAUUUGCUUUGGCAUUUAAUCAUGAAGAAACAUGAUAUAUAUCAAUGUCCUACAUUGCCCCCUAUUGGCGCAAUAGAUGCAAGAAGAAAAAUUCAAAAAGGUAAUAGUUUGAUUUGGCAUUUAAUCAUAAAGAAACACGAUAUAUAUCAAUGUCCUAGAAUGAUAUGAAUGCGUUUAAAUAUACACUUAUUUUACAUACCAUCUCAUAUUUAUCAUUUUGAAUAUCGAUAAAAAAGAAUUUAAUAUAAAAGUACCCAUAAUCAUAGAUAUUUUUUUUUGUCAAAUAAGUAAUUUUUAAAAAUAAAAAUACCAUGAUCAUAGAUGUUUUAAUGUCCCUUAAAAAAAAAAAAAAAACUCUUGAGCCUCAUUUUUUUAUUAAAAUAUAUUUUUCAACAGUAUUUGACUCCAGUUCGACUACACAUUAUUUAAUAAAAUAAUUUACAUGUAAAUUCAUGACUUUUUUUAAUCACACAUUUUGAUCCGUACAAUAUUUAAAAAUGCUUCUUCUUUUUUUUUUUUAUUAUAAAAAUAGAUCUAGGGCUAAGUGAAAAGCGAACUCGCUUACGUCAGCCAUGUGUAAUGGUGUCUAUAGAUAGGCUCAAUUGCUGGACACUAGAGCCAUCUCACUGAAAGCAGCACUGUCUAGUUCAAAGAUAGAGAAGAAACUUUCGCAAUGGCUGAACAAAUCGAGAUGCCGCGCGUGAAACUUGGAACCCAAGGACUCGAGGUAUAUGUUAAAUUUGAUUAAUUCAGUUUCGGAUUCGAUUCAAUUUGUAGAUCUGAAUUGAAUUUUUUCUAUACCCUAUAAAACAUGUGAUCUUUCGGUAACCUUACCGAUUAUUGCUUAGAAUCCUAAAAACAACCCAUUUGUUCGUGAAUAAGCUACUGAUUGCGUAUUUAUGACAAAUUUUUACCGUUCUGUUGAGGUGUCUCGCGGUGUUGCGUACGUGGCUGACGGUGCCGGGGAAUUGGCAUUAAUAAGCUAGAAACUCUAGUUCCACAUUUGAUUGUGGUUUCACAACUGUUAUUUAUUAUUUAAACGUUUUGAUGCUUUCAUUUUUUUGGAGCUCUUUGGUUUUGUUUUGCCGUUUAAGUUUGGCCAUAGGACAUAUCACCAAAUUCGUUAAAUCGAUUAAUUUAGUUGGAUAGGUGGUUAACGACUUAAUAAAAGUUGGGUACUUGAAGUUUCACAUUUUGAAAAAUUAAUUGUUUCAAUGGUCGAUGAACUUAGGUCCAUGUCUUUUUUCAUUGGUCACUCAAGUUUAAAAUGUCAAGAUUUGGUUAUUGAACUUAGAUCAAUAUUUUCGAUUGCUCUUCGAACUUAGGUCCAUGUCUUAUAUUUUUCAUUGAAAUUUAAAAUGUCGAGUUUUGACCACUGAAUUUUGGAUUAUACCGUAUGUUACUUAUUAGCUAGCAUAAUUGUUGAAUUUUGAAAAAUAUCAAGUUUACAGUGAAUAAUACACAGCAAUUUUCAAAAUUUAUUGAGUAAUGUACAACAUUUUUCAAAAUUCAUUUGACAAAACUCGAUAUUUUAAACUUCAAUGAGCAAUUGAAGGCAUGAACCUAAAUUUAGUGACCAAAAUUCGACAUUUUUAAUUUCUGUGACCAUUCAAAGACAUGGACUCAAGUUCGGUGACUAUGGGAACAAUUAACUCCACUUUGAAAAUUUGGCUACCAACAGAGUUUUUAAACCCUCUUUAAGACAUGAGAAAUCAGAAAUAUAGUUGAUUAAAGAAAGACGAAGAAUAUACAUAUAGAAUUCUUGCAGACUGAUGUUGUUUGUGCAUUCCCACCCCGCAUUAAGCUCCAGCAAAUUGAUUGGAAGAUAAUGCAAUGAUUCAUUUGUUUUCUUCAAAUAAUACUUUCUUAAAUCUCUUUACUUCAUCCAAUGACUUGUUUUUUCUCUUAGGUAUCAAGGCUAGGUUAUGGUUGUAUGGGGCUUUCAGGUGCCUACGGUAAUCCUGUCCCUGAGGAGGAUGCAAUUGCAGUAAUCAAAGAGGCAUUUAGUAAAGGCAUCACAUUUUUUGACACAUCGGAUGCUUAUGGUCCGGACCAUGCCAAUGAGUACCUGGUGGGGAAGGUAGGUGCUUUACUGAGAUACUUACUCUUGAUCAUGGCAGCACAUUUGAAUUUAUGUGCUGGCAAGAUACUUCUUUUGUCAUCGAAAGUUGAUGUGAACAACAAUAAUGGUAUUCUAUGGCAUCAAGCUGAUCUAAAUAAAGUUCCAUUUCCUUGCGUAUAACUCUGCGAUAAUAAAACAACACGUGGAAAUUUUGUGACAGAAAGAAAAAGGACAGACAGCUUCAUUUCGCGAAUAUAUCCGUUGAAACUUCUUGUGUUUAUUGAAAAUAUUAUUGAACUUAACGUGAUUGAAUUUUUUCUUCAAAAGUUGAGAACAAUAGUUGAUAAAAGUCCAGCUAUCGGCUAUUGUAUCUGUAAGUUAUAUAAAGUGUGUGAUAUUAAAAAAACUGAAUUGGCGAACAAUUAUCUCUUUGAAAAAAAUAUAAUUUUGUCUUUAGAUGAUUCUUGAAGUUAUGUUUAACUUAAAGUUUCCCUUCCUGGCCUCUUAUUAGAUUAUUAUUAAUUCAGAAACCAGUAAAUGUAACCAUAAGCACUUCAUGGUCACCUUUGAGUUGUCUUAACUUAGGGAAUUCAUAUUUUGCAGGCAUUAAAGCAGUUACCGCGAGAAAAAGUCCAAUUAGCUACAAAGUUUGGUGUAGCCGGGUAUGAUGCAUCUGGAGUUAUAGUGAAAGGUUCACCUGAAUAUGCCCGCUCUUGCUGUGAGGCUAGCCUGAAGGUUCUUGGCGUGGACUAUAUCGAUCUUUACUACAUACACAGAAUUGAUGCUACUGUGCCUAUUGAAUACACAGUGAGUUUUUCAUUUUUAAAACUUUGGGGCCACUAACCACGUUUUCUCUUUGCUUGCAUUCAUUUUUCUUAUCAUUCUUUCGUUUCCUUUUAACAAUAUGAUCGCACUUGUUGAUAAAAUUGUUUUUGAGUUGUAGAUUGGAGAACUUAAAAAGCUAGUUAAUGAAGGUAAAAUAAGAUAUAUUGGAUUGUCUGAAGCUAGCCCAGACACAAUAAGGAGAGCUCAUGCAGUUCAUCCUAUUACUGCAAUUCAAAUGGACUAUUCCCUUUGGAUUCGUGACAUUGAAGAAAAAAUAAUUCCACUUUGCAGGUUUCCAUAUUUCUUAAAUAUUUCCGUUGUAACUCUGAUUAAAUAUUACAUUUUCAGCUAACUAUUUGGUCAGUUUCUACUUUCUCAUGUUUAAAUUUUUAGAUUAAUUUCGUACAAUAUAAAUUUCUUGACGUCAUUUUCAUCCUAGGAUUAACAGUACAGUGCUCUGCUCCUAUUUUCUAUUAUAAUCCUUUAUGUUUUUAUAUUUUUCUUCAUGAAGUUAAUUUUGCAACAUUAAGUAAUUAAAACUACAAUCGCAGUUAGUGUGUUGAACAUUAUGCUUUUAAUGAGAAUACUGGAAGUAUUUUUACUACCCUCUUUUUAUCAAUGCUUCGAUACCUUGAUUCGUCUUCUUUCAACUACUACGCUUCAAGUUUGUGUAGUUUCGCAUCUUAUUUUUAUGCUUCCUAUUCAAAAAUUGUGAUCUCAUAAAUUGUUUCUUUUUGGGAAUGGAUACAGGGAACUUGGGAUCGGAAUAGUUCCCUACAGUCCCUUAGGUCGAGGGUUUUUUGCUGGGAAGGCAAUCGUGGAAAGUGCGGAUCCAAAUAGCUCAUUGGUGUGUGCGCAUCUAUAUUUUCUAAUCUUCAUUGCAUUAUAUCUUCUUUAGUAUCAAAGAUCAUAUAGUAGUUUAUUCACUCUUGUAAUCUCUAGUUGCUGAAAAGCUGUGUAAUUUUCGUACUAUCAGACAAGUCACCCAAGGCUUCAAGGAGAGAAUUUUGAGAAGAACAAAGUCCUAUAUUUUCGCAUAGAAGCGUUGGCUAAGAAGCAUGGAUGCACACCAGCUCAACUUGCGAUCGCAUGGGUUCUUCAUCAAGGAGAUGAUAUUGUACCUAUUCCAGGUAAGCCAAUCAUAUAAGAAGCUUUGCUUUAAAUGCUCUAGUGGAAACCAUGUUGGACAGAUUGGAAAUGUAGAGAUUUAAAGAAAUUGGAUCUAUAUGUUUAAAUUAGCCUAGUGUACGAGAUGAUCAGCCUUUCCCUUGGGGGGUUCAUGUACUUGAGAUUAGUAAGACUUUGGUAUAAUUAUCGAGUCUUUUUGUUUCUUGAUUAGAUAUUAGUAUGCUUCUUGGAUUGUCAUCAUAAAUUAUUGUUGUUUUAAAUAGGUAAGAACUUAUUCUCUAUGGAUAUCCUACACUUUCAAGUUGUGGGUUUCAAGACCCACUUUAGAAGUAGAAAUUAUAUUCAUUUGUGCCUGUAGAUCUCCUCACGGUUGAGAGAUUUAUUUUUGGAUAAAUCUUGGUGUACAUAAAAUAUGUACAAAGGGGUGUCCACAUCCCUUAGAUGGGGUGGUUCCUACCUUGUGCGGUCUCAAGUACAUGUGGGAUGUGGACACCCCUGUAUAUCCAAAUUAUGUACACCAAGUACAACCCUUUAUUAGACUUGUUUCUAAUGAUAUUUUUCAUCAUCUUUAUGGGCC
Molecule: long non-coding RNA, 20593 nt
Filed under: Olea europaea (common olive)
Lineage: Eukaryota; Viridiplantae; Streptophyta; Magnoliopsida; Lamiales; Oleaceae
Description: long non-coding RNA (OEUR_LNC010632)
Source: RNAcentral